This 518-nucleotide ribosomal RNA is filed under the name Conasprella arcuata. RNAcentral describes it as "partial 12S ribosomal RNA". It matches the Rfam family "Bacterial small subunit ribosomal RNA", at positions 624 to 1383 of the family's 1533-position model. Lineage: Eukaryota; Metazoa; Mollusca; Gastropoda; Neogastropoda; Conidae. The record is from RNAcentral.
GGUAAAAGACAGUUAGACAGCAGAAAGGUCAUAGAAUUUUUAAUAUAGGGGUGCAAUCCGAAUAUUGAUAAAUAAUCUAGUUUAUGACUAUUUAGUUGAAUCUGUGAUAGCUUUAAGGGAAACUGGGAUUUGAUACCCCAUUAUUUUUAGCUGUAAAUUCAAUUUUAUAUAAUUUACCAGAGUACUACGAACAAUUAAGUUUAAAACUCAAAGGGCUUGGCGGUAUUUUAGACCACUUAGGGGAACCUGUCUCAUAAUCGAUGAUCCACGUUAAACCUGACCUUUUUUUGCAUUCAGCUUGUAUACCGUCGUCCUCAGGUAACUUCUAAAAAAUUAAAAGUUAGCGAAAGAAUUUAUAAAUUAUAAUGUCAGAUCAGGGUGCAGCUUAUAAAAAGGGGAGGAUGGGUUACAAUUAUAUAAUCAUAACUACGGAAGACUGUUAGAAUUAAUUGAUCUGAAGGAGGACUUAAAAGUAAUAUUUAAAUAUAUAAAUUAUAUGAAUAAGGCUCUGAAAUGUG